Molecule: long non-coding RNA, 1179 nt
Organism: Malaya genurostris
Lineage: Eukaryota; Metazoa; Arthropoda; Insecta; Diptera; Culicidae
Exons: 3
Source: RefSeq, a predicted model, not a curated record
AUAGGUGUGCUGGAAGAAGUGAAAUUUUAAGUUUAGUUUUGGUAGUGCUGUAAAAAAAAUAUUCUAAUCCGCAGUUUCCAGGAUUUUCGCCGUUUCAAACCCUGUGAAAGAAUAUACUCGGAUCUAGGCUUGCCUUAACUAGACGUUUCAGAAAAUUUCCAACGAUAAACAUCAUCGUCAAUUCAAAAUUUUUUCAACUUACUUGCUAUUGAGAAGUGCUGAGGUUUGGAGCUAGACAAAAUUGUCUGAAACUUCAACACAACAUACGAUAAAGAAGGCUUAUCUCGAGGAAACUGAUUCACUAUGGAACCAGAGAGCGUUAGACCGAGUAGAAGAGUUAACGACACCCAAGCGAAAGAUGAAUCGCUCGACCAUUCAACAUUUAACCCGAAUCGGAACAGACAAAGCCGCAAAGAUUCAUUCGAUGGUUCAAUGGACUGUCGUCCUUCGACCUCCGCUUUAAGCUAUGCGAGAGAGUUUCGAUCACCGGAUGGUGAAGAAUAUAUUAGGAAAGACUACAUCACCGGACAAGCCAACGAACUCGGUUUUUCCGCCUGCUUAAGCUCGGAAUCCAGUAAGAUAACAGUUAUCAACCAAGGCUGCCAGAUGUCUAUGGAUGAUGAUCUAGAGGCAGAAAUAAUGAUCGAGAAGCCGGAAUUAUUGGAUGAAACACGCAGUUUUGAACAGGCAAAGAAAGCUCUGCUGGAUCAGAUUCGGUUUAAGAAAGUGCUUUUCGAAUGUGUUCCGAUAAAUCGAUACCUACUACUAGUAAAAUGCAUAGACAAACUUUUAAAUUUAUAUAUUCAUAAAUUUGAUUCAGACUUGCUAAAGGAAUAUAUGUCGUUGAUCGAAUUGGGUCUGGAAAGCAAUUUUGGUGAUGGAAGUGAUUAUCGGAGUAAGUUCGAACAACUCAUGAAACAUGUCGAGUUGGAACCAGAGGUCACUGAAUUAUUAACUAAGUUGUAUGAUGUCGAAUGUUUUUUAUUGAGAAGAUGUAAACUUUUUCCACACCUCCCAAUUCCACCAUAAUCAAAUGUUUCAGAAACUCGUAAAGCAGUUUAGGACAAGCUUCUAGACGCAAAAGUUGAGAUUGUUAAAACGCUUGUAGUGAUCAAUAAAUUAAGCGCAGAAGUUGCACCGCGUUAAUCUGCGUGGAAGGCAUCAACUUAGUCAUCUCUU